Molecule: long non-coding RNA, 643 nt
Organism: Zalophus californianus (California sea lion)
Lineage: Eukaryota; Metazoa; Chordata; Mammalia; Carnivora; Otariidae
Exons: 3
Source: RefSeq, a predicted model, not a curated record
CGCCUGCGGCUCUGAGGACAAGUGCUGGUCGGAUGCAGAGCGGGUCUAAGAAGAGUGUUUUGCGGCCCGCGGAGGCGCGCUUUACUUCCACAUCGGGGAGACCGAAAAGAAGUGCUUUAUUGAGGAGAUUCCGGACGAGACCAUGGUUAUAGGAAACUACCGGACACAGCUGUAUGACAAGCAGCGGGAGGAGUACCAGCCGGCCACCCCCGGGCUUGGUAUGUUCGUGGAGGUGAAGGACCCAGAGGACAAGGAGAAAAGAAAGCAUCUUCUGAAAAAAAAUCAACCUGUGACAUCAUAAAGACAGACAUAGGUUGGCUGAAAAAUAGUGGGAAGACAGAGGUGCCCAUCCAACUACCUGGAAGAACCCAGCAGAAGAGCACAUGAACCUGACUGGAGCCCGCAAAGAGGCACAGGAUCACCACAAGCACUCAGGUUACCCAUAAGAUGGGCCCAAAUUGGACCUUUCUGGAAAGGGCUCCACAGGUUGCUAAGGCUUUUGGAGAACAAGCUUUCUUCAUCCCAUCCAUUUCAGGAUCCGUCCCCACCAAUGCAUGCAGAGCCUCACAUGUUAAUAUCUGGUUAGAAACAAAACACCAGAAUGAAUUGCAGAGCGGGAGGCAAUAAAUGUUUAGGUCAGAAA